GGCCUACCAUGGUGGUAACGGGUAACGGGGUGUUAGGGCACGACACCGGAGAGGGAGCUGAGAAACGGCUACCACAUCCAAGGAUGGCAGCAGGCGCGCAAAUUACCCAAUCCCGACACGGGGAGGUAGUGACAAUAAAUAACAAUACGGGGUUCUUUAGGAUUUCGUAAUUGGAAUGAGUACAAUUUAAAUCUCUUAACGAGGAACAAUUGGAGGGCAAGUCUGGUGCCAGCAGCCGCGGUAAUUCCAGCUCCAAUAGCGUAUAUUAAAGUUGUUGCAGUUAAAAAGCUCGUAGUUGAAUUUCGGGAUCAAUAUGUUGGUCGUGCCUCGGUACGUACUAGCAUAUUGGUUUCUCCUUUCUGAAGAACCAUGAUGUCAUUUAUUUGGUGUCGUGGGGAAUCAGGACUGUUACUUUGAAAAAAUUAGAGUGUUUAAAGCAGGCUCACGCUUGAAUACAUUAGCAUGGAAUAAUGAAAUAGGACGUUUGAUUCUAUUUUGUUGGUUUCUAGGAUCGACGUAAUGAUUAAUAGGGAUAGUUGGGGGCAUUAGUAUUCAAUUGUCAGAGGUGAAAUUCUUGGAUUUAUUGAAGACUAACUACUGCGAAAGCAUUUGCCAAGGAUGUUUUCAUUAAUCAAGAACGAAAGUUAGGGGAUCGAAGACGAUCAGAUACCGUCGUAGUCUUAACCAUAAACUAUGCCGACUAGGGAUCGGAUGAUGUUAAUUUUUUAAUGACUCAUUCGGCGCCUUACGGGAAACCAAAGUGUUUGGGUUC
This 772-nucleotide ribosomal RNA is filed under the name uncultured Glomeromycotina. Its description in RNAcentral is "SSU rRNA". It matches the Rfam family "Eukaryotic small subunit ribosomal RNA", at positions 338 to 1114 of the family's 1831-position model. Lineage: Eukaryota; Fungi; Glomeromycota. The record is from RNAcentral.